UGGGGAAUAUUGCACAAUGGGCGCAAGCCUGAUGCAGCCAUGCCGCGUGUGUGAAGAAGGCCUUCGGGUUGUAAAGCACUUUCAGCGGGGAGGAAGGCGUUAAGGUUAAUAACCUUGGCGAUUGACGUUACCCGCAGAAGAAGCACCGGCUAACUCCGUGCCAGCAGCCGCGGUAAUACGGAGGGUGCAAGCGUUAAUCGGAAUUACUUGGCGUAAAGCGCACGCAGGCGGUUGAUUGAGUCAGAUGUGAAAUCCCCGGGCUUAACCCGGGAAUUGCAUCUGAUACUGGUCAGCUAGAGUCUUGUAGAGGGGGGUGGAAUUCCAUGUGGAGCGGUGAAAUGCGUAGAGAUGUGGAGGAAUACCGGUGGCGAAGGCGGCCCCCUGGACGAAGACUGACGCUCAGGUGCGAAAGCGUGGGGAGCAAACAGG
Molecule: ribosomal RNA, 429 nt
Filed under: Chloroflexota bacterium
Lineage: Bacteria; Bacillati; Chloroflexota
Description: Chloroflexi bacterium partial 16S ribosomal RNA
Rfam family: Bacterial small subunit ribosomal RNA
Source: RNAcentral